GAUCAAGUAUGGUGUAGUGGAUUAAGCAUUGGACUACGACUCCGGAGAGCAGGGUUCGAUUCCCUGCUUAGCCC
RNAcentral lists this transfer RNA (74 nucleotides) under Phrynosoma platyrhinos (Desert horned lizard). RNAcentral describes it as "tRNA-OTHER". Lineage: Eukaryota; Metazoa; Chordata; Lepidosauria; Squamata; Phrynosomatidae. The record is from RNAcentral.